UCAGUCGACUCCUACGGGGAGGCAGCAGUGGGGAAUAUUGCACAAUGGGGGAAACCCUGAUGCAGCCAUGCCGCGUGUGUGAAGAAGGCCUUCGGGUUGUAAAGCACUUUCAGUAGGGAGGAAGGUAGUGUAGUUAACACCUGCACUACUUGACGUUACCUACAGAAGAAGCACCGGCUAACUCCGUGCCAGCAGCCGCGGUAAUACGGAGGGUGCGAGCGUUAAUCGGAAUUACUGGGCGUAAAGCGCAUGCAGGCGGCCUGUUAAGUCAGAUGUGAAAGCCCGGGGCUUAACCUCGGAAUUGCAUUUGAAACUGGCAGGCUAGAGUCUUGUAGAGGGGGGUAGGAAUUUCAGGUGUAGCGGUGAAAUGCGUAGAGAUCUGAAGGAAUACCAGUGGCGAAGGCGGCCCCCUGGACAAAGACUGACGCUCAGAUGCGAAAGCGUGGGGAGCAAACAGGAUUAGAUACCCUGGUAG
Molecule: ribosomal RNA, 475 nt
Filed under: uncultured bacterium
Lineage: Bacteria
Description: bacterial SSU rRNA
Rfam family: Bacterial small subunit ribosomal RNA
Source: RNAcentral